This is a non-coding RNA of Onthophagus taurus, 497 nucleotides long. The record is from RefSeq and is a predicted model, not a curated record. NCBI's taxonomy places the organism in Eukaryota, Metazoa, Arthropoda, Insecta, Coleoptera, Scarabaeidae.
UGUUGAAAACAGAAUAAUCUUAGAAAGAAUAAUCAAUCAUUUUACAAAUGAAAGAUUGAAUCGUAAUAGUGUGUUGGAAACAACAAAUACCUUUGAAACAGUACCUGCAGACCAAUUUGUGAAAUUUAAGUCUCUGUUACAAUACGACAAAAUGAUUUCAGAAAAUCAAACAAUGCAGAAUCAGUUGGCAACAGUUUUUAGUAUGUCAGGUGGGACUACGUCAAAAGAAGCUAUAGUGAGAGGAUUGAAGCGAUUGAUUUCGGAUAAACUGGCUCGGAAAUGUUCCUUGUUAGGCCGAAAAGGCAAUUAUGAAAUUGGCAAGAUGCGCUGUAUUGCAUUGUUAAAAGCGGCAGUUAGGAAGAGCUUCCAUUUAACUGACAAAGAAUACGAAGUGGUAGUAAGCAAUUGGUUACGACAAGCCAAUUUACGGUACAAUAGACAAAAUAAAGAAACCGCAGAUUAGAUACGAUGAUAAUAAAGAAUAUUGUUAUUUUUUA